UCCACCAUAGCUCAAUAGGUAGAGCACUUCGCUGUUAACGAAGGGGUUUGUUGGUUCGAACCCAACUGGUGGAG
This 74-nucleotide transfer RNA is filed under the name Caudoviricetes sp. Its description in RNAcentral is "tRNA-Asn". It matches the Rfam family "tRNA". From Rfam's summary of the family: Transfer RNA (tRNA) molecules are approximately 80 nucleotides in length. Their secondary structure includes four short double-helical elements and three loops (D, anti-codon, and T loops). Further hydrogen bonds mediate the characteristic L-shaped molecular structure. tRNAs have two regions of fundamental functional importance: the anti-codon, which is responsible for specific mRNA codon recognition, and the 3' end, to which the tRNAs corresponding amino acid is attached (by aminoacyl-tRNA synthetases). tRNAs cope with the degeneracy of the genetic code in two manners: having more than one tRNA (with a specific anti-codon) for a particular amino acid; and 'wobble' base-pairing, i.e. permitting non-standard base-pairing at the 3rd anti-codon position. Lineage: Duplodnaviria; Heunggongvirae; Uroviricota; Caudoviricetes. The record is from RNAcentral.